Molecule: ribosomal RNA, 497 nt
Filed under: uncultured bacterium
Lineage: Bacteria
Description: partial 16S ribosomal RNA
Rfam family: Bacterial small subunit ribosomal RNA
Source: RNAcentral
GAUGAACGCUGGCGGCGUGCCUAAUACAUGCAAGUCGAGCGAACAGACGAGGAGCUUGCUCCUCUGACGUUAGCGGCGGACGGGUGAGUAACACGUGGAUAACCUACCUAUAAGACUGGGAUAACUUCGGGAAACCGGAGCUAAUACCGGAUAAUAUAUUGAACCGCAUGGUUCAAUAGUGAAAGACGGUUUUGCUGUCACUUAUAGAUGGAUCCGCGCCGCAUUAGCUAGUUGGUAAGGUAACGGCUUACCAAGGCAACGAUGCGUAGCCGACCUGAGAGGGUGAUCGGACACACUGGAACUGAGACACGGUCCAGACUCCUACGGGAGGCAGCAGUAGGGAAUCUUCCGCAAUGGGCGAAAGCCUGACGGAGCAACGCCGCGUGAGUGAUGAAGGUCUUCGGAUCGUAAAACUCUGUUAUUAGGGAAGAACAAAUGUGUAAGUAACUAUGCACGUCUUGACGGUACCUAAUCAGAAAGCCACGGCUAACUACGUG